GAUGAACGCUGGCGGCGUGCCUAAUACAUGCAAGUCGAGCGAACAGACGAGGAGCUUGCUCCUCUGCCGUUAGCGGCGGACGGGUGAGUAACACGUGGAUAACCUACCUAUAAGACUGGGAUAACUUCGGGAAACCGGAGCUAAUACCGGAUAAUAUAUUGAACCGCAUGGUUCAAUAGUGAAUGACGGUUUUGCUGUCACUUAUAGAUGGAUCCGCGCCGCAUUAGCUAGUUGGUAAGGUAACGGCUUACCAAGGCAACGAUGCGUAGCCGACCUGAGAGGAUGAUCGGCCACACUGGAGCUGAGACACGGUCCAGACUCCUACGGGAGGCAGCAGUGGGGAAUCUUCCGCAAUGGGCGAAAGCUUGACGGAGCAACGCCGCGUGAGUGAUGAAGGUCUUCGGAUCGUAAAGCUCUGUUAUUAGGGAAGAACAAAUGUGUAAGUAACUAUGCACGUCUUGACGGUACCUAAUCAGAAAGCCACGGCUAACUACGUG
Molecule: ribosomal RNA, 497 nt
Filed under: uncultured bacterium
Lineage: Bacteria
Description: partial 16S ribosomal RNA
Rfam family: Bacterial small subunit ribosomal RNA
Source: RNAcentral